Molecule: small nuclear RNA, 199 nt
Organism: Hyla sarda
Lineage: Eukaryota; Metazoa; Chordata; Amphibia; Anura; Hylidae
Product: U2 spliceosomal RNA
Exons: 1
Source: RefSeq, a predicted model, not a curated record
AUUUAUUUUUUUACAUUUUGUUUGGUAAAAAGAGGGGAGUUUAUCGGUUCUUAUCAGUUUACUAUCUGAUACGUCCCCUAUCUGGCUACCAUAUAUUAAAUGGAUUUUUCAGAACGGGGGCUGAUUUCGAAGCUUGCCUCUGUCGCUCUACGCAUUGACCCGAUAUGGCAGUAAAAAAAGGGGGGGGAGGGGAACAAAU